Molecule: long non-coding RNA, 1789 nt
Filed under: Homo sapiens (human)
Lineage: Eukaryota; Metazoa; Chordata; Mammalia; Primates; Hominidae
Description: HSALNT0026852
Source: RNAcentral
UAGUAGAUUAAUUAUUUCAAUAAAACAAUAAAAUUUCUAUGAGAGGGUAAAUGGCAUAACAAUACACUCCUUCUCAAGUGCAGAACUUGAAAACACCAUUCCCAAGCAGAAUAUAAAUGCAUUUUUUGGUGUAUUAUUCUCUGAUAUUUCCUCUUUUGAAUAGCAGAGAAAGAAGUAUGUGUGUGGCACUGUGGUUAAAUAUGGAAUGCAGGCUCUAAAGGAUUCCUUUUCCUCUGAAAGUCUUAACAGGCGCCUCACCUUUCUCUGGUUUUCCUUCUAGUCUCAUGCAAAGACUAAACAACAACAAUCAACUCGAUAAAAUAGUGUCCAUAGGCCAGCUUAGGUUAGGCUGGUUGCAUGGAAAGAAUGUGACUGGGAAUUCAUAUCCUAGAGUCAAGCCAGAAACUUAAUGAUUAAACAAAUCACUUCCUUGAACGCAGUCUUUUUCCAAGGUUCUGUUAGCCAUACUCUCAGGAAGCUGUGAAGUAGGGAGAUCUACGUGGGGGUCUCUUUGUACUGAGACUCAUCAGCAUCUCGGAAAGCAGAAGGGCCUGAAUUAUUGCAGGCACAAGUGGGAGGCUGGGACAGCAUUUCUGACUUCCUGGGAGAAGAUGUCGAAGACACAGGAGAAGACAAGCCAGGGAGAGGGGCUUAGAGCAGAUUCUCCCUUGCAGCCUCAGAAGGAAUCAGUCCUGGUCACACCUUGAUCUCAGACUUCUGGCCUCCAGAAUGGGGACUUAAAACCAACAUCCCACACUCAUAAUGAAAACCUGGCAGGAGGCAGAACAGGAUUGGAGCUGCUUCAAAGCCUUAGGUCCAGAGAACUCAUCACCUAUGCAGAUCCUCAAUAAGACUCAAAGCUGAUUCCGCCUCAGAAACCAUGGAGACCCAAAGCCAAAUUCAAAGUGCUGAAAGUUAACUCAUCCAAUCAGUCAACUCUUGUACAGACCUCCUUUUUUUUUGUUCUUGGAGUUUGUUUUAUUCUAAUAAAGGUGUUUUAUAUUGUUGUUGUAUUAUUCUUAAAUACCAUAUUUUAGUUGCUAUUAUAAAUGGUACUUCUAUUGCCGUUUUGUCUAACAUUUUCUGGUGGUCAAAUUUCUAGCUAGUGUGGAAGAACACUGAUGGUUUUUACUUAUUGAUUUUCUCUCUGGCAAUCUCACUAAACCUUAUGAUAAGUAAUAAACCUUAUGAUAGUAGAAAAGGUUGAUAUGAUAUGAUAGUAGUAAUCCUCUGGAUUACCCAUCCCCUCUUGAUAAUCUCUGUUGAAAUAAUCACAUUAUGUGCAACUAAUGACAAUGUCACUGCUCUUAUAGUCUCUAUGUGCAUUUCUUUUUCUUGUCUUACUGCUUUGACUCAUUCAGUUGACUGCCAUUCACAGAACAGAUGUGGAACGGUUGUUUUCGUUAUCAUGUGCCUAAAAAGAAUGUGAUUAAAAUUUGCCAGUUCAAUAUAAUAUUGGAUGUAGGGUUUUAAUAAAUAACUUUCAACAAACUGCAAGAGUCAUCUUCCCUUUCUAGUAUUCUAAUGGCACUGGUUUUUUAAAAAUAAUAAAUUGGUAUUGAAGUUGUCUUAUGCUUUUUUCUGUAUCCAUUUCCAUUAAGAUAAUUAUUUGGAUUUUUUCUACUUUUCAUUAUAUGAUAUAUUGAAUAAUUAUAUUUUCUGAGGCUGAACUCUCCUUGAAUCUCUGUUACAAAUGCUGCUUGUCAUGAGAUACUAUUUUUCAUGCUGUCGUUAAAUUAGUAAAUUAAUUUUUAUUUAGGAUCUUAAAUCUACAUAUGUAAGUAAAACU